UGGGGGAUAUUGCACAAUGGGCGAAAGCCUGAUGCAGCGACGCCGCGUGGGGGAUGAAGGCCUUCGGGUUGUAAACUUCUUUUGCUCUGAACAAGGCAUGCCUUUGGGGUGUGUUGAGUGUAGGGGUUGAUUAGCGCCGGCUAACUACGUGCCAGCAGCCGCGGUAAUACGUAGGGCGCGAGCGUUGUCCGGAAUUAUUGGGCGUAAAGGGCUUGUAGGUGGCUGGUUGCGUCUGUCGUGAAAGCUCAUGGCUUAACUGUGGGUUUGCGGUGGGUACGGGCUGGCUUGAGUGCAGUAGGGGGGGCUGGAAUUCCUGGUGUAGCGGUGGAAUGCGCAGAUUUCAGGAGGAAUACCGGUGGCGAAGGCGAGUCUCUGGGCUGUUACUGACGCUGAGGAGCGAAAGCGUGGGGAGCGAACAGG
RNAcentral lists this ribosomal RNA (420 nucleotides) under Fusobacteriota bacterium. Its description in RNAcentral is "Fusobacteria bacterium partial 16S ribosomal RNA". It matches the Rfam family "Bacterial small subunit ribosomal RNA", at positions 355 to 776 of the family's 1533-position model. The record is from RNAcentral. Lineage: Bacteria; Fusobacteriati; Fusobacteriota.